AAAACUAGAGGCUCUCAAGAGCCUGUAUCGCUCACCUGAUUCUACCUGGGUUUUUGAAAUCAUAUAAAAAAAAAAAGAUAAAAUUUGGCUACAAAGUAACAACACUUGGCCAGCACCUCAUUAAGAAAGGAACAUUUAUGCUAUGUUUGGUUUCAUUCCAUUCAGUGGUUCUCUAAAAGAAGUCAUUUGUAUGCAUUUCCCAUAGGGUCCUAUGUUAAACUAAGUCCCCCACUGGCGGCCAUCUUGAAUGAUGGAUCGGCUACAAAGUAACAACACUUGGUCAGCACCUCAUAAGAAACAUUCAUGCCAUGUUUGGUUUCAUUCCAUUCAGUGGUU
RNAcentral lists this long non-coding RNA (336 nucleotides) under Mytilus galloprovincialis (Mediterranean mussel). The record is from RNAcentral. Lineage: Eukaryota; Metazoa; Mollusca; Bivalvia; Mytilida; Mytilidae.